RNAcentral lists this ribosomal RNA (482 nucleotides) under uncultured bacterium. RNAcentral describes it as "partial 16S ribosomal RNA". It matches the Rfam family "Bacterial small subunit ribosomal RNA", at positions 30 to 507 of the family's 1533-position model. The record is from RNAcentral.
AUUGAACGCUGGCGGCAUGCUUUACACAUGCAAGUCGAACGGUAACAGGCCGCAAGGUGCUGACGAGUGGCGAACGGGUGAGUAAUGCAUCGGAACGUGCCCAGUCGUGGGGGAUAACUACUCGAAAGAGUAGCUAAUACCGCAUACGGUCUAUGGAUGAAAGCGGGGGACCGUAAGGCCUCGCGCGAUUGGAGCGGCCGAUGUCAGAUUAGGUAGUUGGUGGGGUAAAGGCUCACCAAGCCAACGAUCUGUAGCUGGUCUGAGAGGACGACCAGCCACACUGGGACUGAGACACGGCCCAGACUCCUACGGGAGGCAGCAGUGGGGAAUUUUGGACAAUGGGCGCAAGCCUGAUCCAGCAAUGCCGCGUGCAGGAAGAAGGCCUUCGGGUUGUAAACUGCUUUUGUACGGAACGAAACGGCUCUGGUUAAUACCCGGGGCUAAUGACGGUACCGUAAGAAUAAGCACCGGCUAACUACGUG